RNAcentral lists this ribosomal RNA (460 nucleotides) under Bacillus sp. 253-3.2-LH-H15(s)-05. RNAcentral describes it as "bacterial SSU rRNA". It matches the Rfam family "Bacterial small subunit ribosomal RNA", at positions 44 to 486 of the family's 1533-position model. Lineage: Bacteria; Bacillati; Bacillota; Bacilli; Caryophanales; Bacillaceae. The record is from RNAcentral.
UUGCCUAAUACAUGCAAGUCGAGCGAACAGAAAAGGAGCUUGCUCCUUUGACGUUAGCGGCGGACGGGUGAGUAACACGUGGGCAACCUACCCUAUAGUUUGGGAUAACUCCGGGAAACCGGGGCUAAUACCGAAUAAUCUCUUUUGCUUCAUGGUGAAAGACUGAAAGACGGUUUCGGCUGUCGCUAUAGGAUGGGCCCGCGGCGCAUUAGCUAGUUGGUGAGGUAACGGCUCACCAAGGCGACGAUGCGUAGCCGACCUGAGAGGGUGAUCGGCCACACUGGGACUGAGACACGGCCCAGACUCCUACGGGAGGCAGCAGUAGGGAAUCUUCCACAAUGGGCGAAAGCCUGAUGGAGCAACGCCGCGUGAGUGAAGAAGGUUUUCGGAUCGUAAAACUCUGUUGUAAGGGAAGAACAAGACAGUAGUAACUGGCUGUACCUUGACGGUACCUUAUUAG